RNAcentral lists this ribosomal RNA (497 nucleotides) under uncultured bacterium. RNAcentral describes it as "partial 16S ribosomal RNA". It matches the Rfam family "Bacterial small subunit ribosomal RNA", at positions 28 to 507 of the family's 1533-position model. The record is from RNAcentral.
GAUGAACGCUGGCGGCGUGCCUAAUACAUGCAAGUCGAGCGAACGGACGAGAAGCUUGCUUCUCUGAUGUUAGCGGCGGACGGGUGAGUAACACGUGGAUAACCUACCUAUAAGACUGGGAUAACUUCGGGAAACCGGAGCUAAUACCGGAUGAUAUUUUGAACCGCAUGGUUCAAAGGUGAAAGACGGUCUUGCUGUCACUUAUAGAUGGAUCCGCGCUGCAUUAGCUAGUUGGUAAGGUAACGGCUUACCAAGGCAACGAUGCAUAGCCGACCUGAGAGGGUGAUCGGCCACACUGGAACUGAGACACGGUCCAGACUCCUACGGGAGGCAGCAGUAGGGAAUCUUCCGCAAUGGGCGAAAGCCUGACGGAGCAACGCCGCGUGAGUGAUGAAGGUCUUCGGAUCGUAAAACUCUGUUAUUGGGGAAGAACAUAUGUGUAAGUAACUGUGCACAUCUUGACGGUACCUAAUCAGAAAGCCACGGCUAACUACGUG